Molecule: long non-coding RNA, 236 nt
Filed under: Mytilus galloprovincialis (Mediterranean mussel)
Lineage: Eukaryota; Metazoa; Mollusca; Bivalvia; Mytilida; Mytilidae
Source: RNAcentral
CGGGUUGUGGGUAGAAAUGUACGGUAACACGUUUUCUUUUGAAUGAGGUUUAGUUGUCCGUAAUUCCUGUAAGUUAAAUGAUUUGGCUCUAGUUAUACCGUGGUCAAUUAUUCUCUUAGGAUAUUUUCGGUCCAAGAGCAUGUAGUUUUGUUCCUUUAGUCUUGUAUACCUUAAUUCUGGAUUUGAAAUGAUAGUACAUAUGCGUUUAGCUAGGUUAUAUGGUAUAUUAACUCUAG